AGUGAACGCUGGCGGCGUGCCUAAUACAUGCGAGUCGAACGGAGAUUAAGUAGCUUGCUGCGUAAUCUUAGUGGAGCAGGGGUGAGUAAUAUAUAGGUAACUAGCACAUUACUAAGGGACAGCAGUUGGAAAAGACUGCUAAUAGCUUAUAAUAUGUAUCGAUAUAAGUAGAUACGGGAAAGUUUUUCGGUAAUGGAUAGGGCUAUACCGAAUCAGCUAGUUGGUAAGGGUAUGGCUUACCAAGGCAAUGACGCGUAACUGGUCUGAGAGGAUGGUCAGUCACACUUGGACUUGGGCACGGUCCCGGCUCCCUCGGGAAGGAGCCGGAGGGGAUACUUCUCAAAUGGGGGAACCCUGAAGCAGCCACUCCGCCUGGAAGAAUACACUUUUCGGGACGUAAACUCCUUUUCUUGGGAAAGAAUUAUGACGGUACCCAAAGAAGAAGCACCGGCUAACUCCGUG
Molecule: ribosomal RNA, 462 nt
Filed under: uncultured bacterium
Lineage: Bacteria
Description: partial 16S ribosomal RNA
Rfam family: Bacterial small subunit ribosomal RNA
Source: RNAcentral